UAGAGGAAGUAAAAGUCGUAACAAGGUUUCCGUAGGUGAACCUGCGGAAGGAUCAUUAUCGCACAAGAAAGGCUCUUGGCUGUCGCUGGCUAGGUGAUUCUAGCAUCGUGCACGUCUAUUCCUUUCUAUCUUCAUAACACACCUGUGCACCUAUUGUAGAUCUUUACUGAUCUAUGUCUUAACCUCACACUACAAUGUAUGUCCUUUGAAUGUAUUUAAAUCUUACAACUUUCAGCAAYGGAUCUCUUGGCUCUUGCAUCGAUGAAGAACGCAGCGAAUUGCGAUAAGUAAUGUGAAUUGCAGAUUUUCAGUGAAUCAUCGAAUCUUUGAACGCACCUUGCGCUCCUUGGUAUUCCGAGGAGCAUGCCUGUUUGAGUGUCAUUUGAUUAUCAACCUAGUCAACUUGAAGUUACUAGGCUUGGACUUGGGAUUUGCUGGCUUUCAGUAGUCAGCUAUCCUUAAAUGUAUUAGCGAGUGAAAUCUUGAYGUGCACGGCCUCUGACGUGAUAAUGAUCGUUGGUGGGCUGGAGCRUCAUUAGGAAGCUUGCUUUGAAGUCUUGACAUGCGAGUGUCAUUUAAUUAUAUCUUGACCUCAAAUCAGGUAGGACUACCCGCUGAACUU
RNAcentral lists this ribosomal RNA (622 nucleotides) under Octaviania tasmanica. RNAcentral's name for it is "eukaryotic LSU rRNA". The stretch from base 227 to 381 matches the Rfam family "5.8S ribosomal RNA". The record is from RNAcentral. Lineage: Eukaryota; Fungi; Basidiomycota; Agaricomycetes; Boletales; Boletaceae.